GACAGAGGGUGCGAGCGUUGUCCGGAGUCACUGGGCGUAAAGCGCGCGCAGGCGGCAACCUUAGUGUCGUGUGAAAGCCCCCGGCUCAACCGGGGGAGGCCAUGGCAAACUGGGUCGCUCGAGCUGCGGAGAGGUUCCUCGAAUUGCCGGUGUAGCGGUGAAAUGCGUAGAGAUCGGCAGGAAGACCAAGGGGGAAGCCAGGGGGCUGGCCGCAGGCUGACGCUGAGGCGCGACAGCGUGGGGAGCAAACCGG
Molecule: ribosomal RNA, 253 nt
Filed under: uncultured bacterium
Lineage: Bacteria
Description: partial 16S ribosomal RNA
Rfam family: Bacterial small subunit ribosomal RNA
Source: RNAcentral